This 538-nucleotide ribosomal RNA is filed under the name Hoplia cincticollis. Its description in RNAcentral is "eukaryotic LSU rRNA". It matches the Rfam family "Eukaryotic large subunit ribosomal RNA", at positions 710 to 1209 of the family's 3401-position model. Lineage: Eukaryota; Metazoa; Arthropoda; Insecta; Coleoptera; Scarabaeidae. The record is from RNAcentral.
AAAGGCGCAAUGAAAGUGAAGGUCCGCCUUGCGCGGACCGAGGGAGGAUAGGUCGUCCCGAGGGACCUCCUCGCACUCCCGGGGCGUCUCGUUCUCAUUGCGAGAAGAGGCGCACCCAGAGCGUACACGCUGGGACCCGAAAGAUGGUGAACUAUGCCUGGUCAGGACGAAGUCAGGGGAAACCCUGAUGGAGGUCCGUAGCGAUUCUGACGUGCAAAUCGAUCGUCGGAACUGGGUAUAGGGGCGAAAGACUAAUCGAACCAUCUAGUAGCUGGUUCCCUCCGAAGUUUCCCUCAGGAUAGCUGGCGCUCGCUUCUCGCGAGUCUCAUUCGGUAAAGCGAAUGAUUAGAGGCAUUGGGGUCGAAACGGCCUCAACCUAUUCUCAAACUUUAAAUGGGUGAGAUCUCCGGCUUGCUUGAACUGUGAAGCCGCGAGAUAUCGGAUCAGAGUGCCAAGUGGGCCACUUUUGGUAAGCAGAACUGGCGCUGUGGGAUGAACCAAACGCUGAGUUAAAGCGCCUAAAUCGACGCUUAUGGGA